Molecule: ribosomal RNA, 774 nt
Filed under: uncultured Neocallimastigales
Lineage: Eukaryota; Fungi; Neocallimastigomycota; Neocallimastigomycetes; Neocallimastigales
Description: partial large subunit ribosomal RNA
Rfam family: Eukaryotic large subunit ribosomal RNA
Source: RNAcentral
CGAGCACGCGCGUGUGGCAUAUCAAUAAGCGGAGGAAAAGAAACUAACAAGGAUUCCCUUAGUAACGGCGAGUGAAGCGGGAAGAGCUCAAAUUUGAAAUCUUCAAGGUUCUACCUUGACGAAUUGUAGUUUAUAGAAGUGUUUUCUGUUAGUGGAGUGGCAAAAGUUCUUUGGAAUAGGACAUCAUAGAGGGUGAGAAUCCCGUAUUUGGUCAUUCCUCCUAGCGUUGUGAUACACUUUCAACGAGUCGGAUUGUUUGGGAAUGCAGUCCAAAAUGGGUGGUAAAUUUCAUCUAAAGCUAAAUAUUGGCGAGAGACCGAUAGCGAACAAGUACCGUGAGGGAAAGAUGAAAAGAACUUUGAAAAGAGAGUUAAACAGUACGUGAAAUUGUCAAAAGGGAAGCGUUUGACACCAGUGUUGUUUUUCCGAAAAUCAAUUACGAAUGUUUUGUUUUUGAGGAGUUAUGACUUCAUCGGCUUGCUUCUUUCUUUACGAAACUUUCUUAAUGCACUUUUCGGUUAACAAGUCAACAUCAAUUUCUUUUGUUGUAAAAGGGUAUGAGGAAGGUGGCUUUCUUUUCGGAGAAAGUGUUUAUAGCCUUGUGCCUCUGCAAUCGGAGAGAUUGAGGUCUGCAGCGUAGAUCCUUCGGGGUUAGAUACGUUUGUGCUAAGUUAUAGCUUUUCAUAGACAACUUGUUGACUAUGUUUAGUCUUGUAGCUUACUCGCUGAUGCUAUUUUACCUACGCUUAGGAUGUUGAACUCUAUCACACACAG